GUCCCUGCAGCGCACUGGGUAGUGCAUUGGACUUUUAAUCCAAAGAUCGUGGAUUCCAAUCCCACCUGGCAUU
Molecule: non-coding RNA, 73 nt
Organism: Trichonephila clavipes
Lineage: Eukaryota; Metazoa; Arthropoda; Arachnida; Araneae; Nephilidae
Source: the annotation of a GenBank genome assembly